Unclassified non-coding RNA from Pongo abelii (Sumatran orangutan), 148 nucleotides. It matches the Rfam family "Metazoan signal recognition particle RNA". Rfam says of the family: The signal recognition particle (SRP) is a universally conserved ribonucleoprotein. It is involved in the co-translational targeting of proteins to membranes. The eukaryotic SRP consists of a 300-nucleotide 7S RNA and six proteins: SRPs 72, 68, 54, 19, 14, and 9. NCBI's taxonomy places the organism in Eukaryota, Metazoa, Chordata, Mammalia, Primates, Hominidae. The record is from Ensembl.
GCCGGGUGUGGUGGUGUACACCUGUAGUCCCAGUUACUUGGGAGGCUGAGGCAGGAGAAUUGCUUGAACCCAGGAGUUGGAGGCUGCAGUGAGCUGAGAUUGCACCACUGCACUCCAGCCUGGGCAACAGAGCAAGACUCUGUCUCAA